RNAcentral lists this long non-coding RNA (910 nucleotides) under Malus domestica (apple). Its description in RNAcentral is "long non-coding RNA (MDOM_LNC017567)". Lineage: Eukaryota; Viridiplantae; Streptophyta; Magnoliopsida; Rosales; Rosaceae. The record is from RNAcentral.
AUUUUAGUUUCGAAGAACUUACUCCGGAGAACAAGCAUCAAUAUCCAGCAGCGGAAGCAUUAAUCACAGAUAUUAUAGUACUCGAGAUCAGGUUUGAACCAUCAUGAAACACCCAGAUUAUUAAAAUUGAAAUCCAGAAAGGAAGAGGAAGAACGAGGAGUCGUAAUUCCGAUUCAUUAAAACCCCAAACUAGAUAGGUUUCGAAUUCUAACUCAAGAAAAUCAAACAAUCAUAUUUUAUUAAAACGCACCGUUUUUCCUAUGCUCAGUUUUAGGUCUGAAGCCAAUUUCGAAACCUGAAGAAUGAUGUUUUUUUUUUUUUUUUGAAUUCUGUUCAAUUUUAUUGAUUGAAUUUAAGAACAUGAACCCAAGGCUCUGAUACCACAUGUUAAACUUAUUACACCGAUCAGAUUCAGUUUUAUAAAUCACAACCAAGAUCAAAACACAGAACACUAAUCCAUAUAAAAGUAAAACAUACUGACCUGAAGAAUUUCCAUUGAAUGCAGCCAUGAGUGUUCACUGCUAAUCUGAACGCAACAACUCUUCUUCUCUCUGUCAGGCUCUCUGUCAGGAUACUAUUGCUCUAACCAAGAAUAGGACUCAGUUCCAACAAGAGCGCGCACCUGUGAGAGAAGAGAUUGCCAUAUAUAUAUAUAUGUACACACAUAUCCUUCUCACAUUAGAAUAUGGAUUCCCUAUUAAAAUCCUUAUAGAAAACUACUUAAGUCUUCCUAAUUCAAAUCAGUUUAUCUCUGCAAUAGAAUCCUCUACUGCUAAGAACUGAAUUCCAUCUUCUAUAAGGUUUUCUUAUUCUUAUUGGACUCAAACAACUAAUGCCCAAUCAUCUUAUCUCAUAUUCAUUUUCUUACAGGUCAGGGAACGAAGCAUCUGGAGUCAGGUAUGGCAGCAGG